AUGCUAAGUGCUCAAGAAAUGGGGACUCAGAAUUCUAGCAGCUCAGGAAGCUACGGGGCGGGGGGGCGGGGUGUGUGUGUGUGUGGAGUGGGCAGUGCCACUGGACUCACUCAGGCAAUGGGCUUUUGGCUUCUGGAGGGUCCUGGUUGGCCUCGAUGCCCCAGGGGAGCCCCACCAACACAACACGAACCCCUCUCCUUCUGUGACCUAGACCUGAUGGGACAGGCUGGCGGGAACACAGAGUGCCUGGGGUGGGGGAGGGGGGCUUCCUUCCGAAGCUGCUCUCACCCCACCCCACCCCAGGAGCUGGGUACGUGGCUCAGGAAGGGCACAGCUGGGCUAAAUAUAACCUGGGCUGGGCAGCUGUCCCGGGCAGAGAUGAAGUCUGUAAAAGUCUGCAAAAGUCUGCAAAGUCUGUAAAAUCCCCUCAGCCCAGGAUUGGCAUCAACAAGGUCCCUCUGGAAUGCCUCUUUCAGGCACCUUUUAUCCCCUCUGCUUAGGCCCAACUCCUGCCCCAGUCGUUUUGCUGCUUGGGCCUCUUCUGGUGCUCAGAGCCACCAAUGCAAGUUAAAGCUCAGAGUUGGGGUCAAGGGCACAGGUCCUAGCUGUGUGAUCCCAGACAGGUCACUUCCCCUGAGCCUUGGUCUCCAACCCUAAAAUAGCUACCAUAUCCAGAGGGAUUUCGAGGCCUAAGGAUGCCAGCAUACGGGCCAAUGCAGAGGAAAUACCCCAGAUGUGGGCGCCAACACUAUCUGGAGGGUCUGGGGGCUCACGAGAGAGGCCAGGGAAAGACACGGAGCCCUGAACACCCAGGAGAGCUGGAGAGGAGCCUUCUGCCACUGUGGAUACAGCUGGAGCAUUGAGGAGGGGCCCCGUGUCCUCUGUCCUGGCCAGUGGUGGGCCAUGAAGGGCCAUUGUGCGGCUGGGGGUGGGUGGGCAGGGGCGGAAUGUGACCAGGCACAGCAGACAGGCCAUUGUUUGAGGGAAUGUGCCGCGUGAGGCCUGACCUUUCCCUGUGGAGUGGGGGUUGGCAGGCUGGCAUGCCAGGUGGGGGCCGGGAGGGCAAGGCCAGAGUGGGGGGCGGUGGUCCAGGGAGGGAGACAAUAUCCAUUUCCUUUUCUACAGAAGGGCCUGCUGGGGAGGUUGCAUGCGAACCCCAGCUCUGCUUCCUUCCCGCUGUGCUGUGUGACCUUAAGCAAGGUGCUUGCCCUCUCUGAGGGGCUGAGGUUUUCUGCGGUAAGGUGGAAAGUGAAGGUCUUAGCACAGGCCUGGCAAAGAGUAACCACUCAAUGCCCGUUAGUUAUUAUUAUCUGUAUAAACGGCUGGAGCUUUCAGACAAGUUCAAGACCUGGCUUGGCACUGGUGACCCAGGCAAGUGACCUCCCUUCUCCCAGCCUCAGGUGUCGUCCAUGUAACAGGC
RNAcentral lists this long non-coding RNA (1420 nucleotides) under Sus scrofa (pig). Its description in RNAcentral is "lncRNA (ENSSSCG00070003040.1)". Lineage: Eukaryota; Metazoa; Chordata; Mammalia; Artiodactyla; Suidae. The record is from RNAcentral.